UCGAAUGGUCGGCUAGAGGGGGGGGGAAGGAGGCGGGUGCAAACGUGGUUAGUCAUGAGUUGGGGUAAAGCGGGUGGUGGCGGACGUGUUGGGCGGAUGUGGAAUGCGCAGGGGCAACGUGGGAACUGCAUUCGAGACUGCCAGCGUGGAGGGGUGGGGAGGGAAGGGGAAAUCCUGGUGUAGGGGUGAAAUUCGUAGAUAUCAGGAGGAACACCAGUGGCGAAGGCGGCUUCCUGGACACCAACUGACGCUGAGACGCGAAAGCGUGGGGAGCAAACAGGAUUAGAUACCCUUGUAGUC
RNAcentral lists this ribosomal RNA (300 nucleotides) under uncultured Bacillus sp. Its description in RNAcentral is "bacterial SSU rRNA". The stretch from base 55 to 300 matches the Rfam family "Bacterial small subunit ribosomal RNA", at positions 550 to 795 of the family's 1533-position model. Lineage: Bacteria; Bacillati; Bacillota; Bacilli; Caryophanales; Bacillaceae. The record is from RNAcentral.